UACGUAGGGUGCGAGCGUUAAUCGGAAUUACUGGGCGUAAAGUGUGCGCAGGCGGUUUCGCAAGUCAAGUGUGAGAGCCCCGGGCUUAACCUGGGAACUGCGCUUGAAACUACGGAACUCGAGUAUGGCAGAGGAAGGUGGAAUUCCACGUGUAGCGGUGAAAUGCGUAGAGAUGUGGAGGAACACCGCUGGCGAAGGCAGCCUUCUGGGCCAAUACUGACGCUCAUGCACGAAAGCGUGGGGAGCAAACAGG
RNAcentral lists this ribosomal RNA (253 nucleotides) under uncultured bacterium. RNAcentral's name for it is "partial 16S ribosomal RNA". It matches the Rfam family "Bacterial small subunit ribosomal RNA", at positions 524 to 776 of the family's 1533-position model. The record is from RNAcentral.